This 840-nucleotide ribosomal RNA is filed under the name 'Daucus carota' phytoplasma. Its description in RNAcentral is "bacterial SSU rRNA". It matches the Rfam family "Bacterial small subunit ribosomal RNA", at positions 385 to 1234 of the family's 1533-position model. Lineage: Bacteria; Bacillati; Mycoplasmatota; Mollicutes; Acholeplasmatales; Acholeplasmataceae. The record is from RNAcentral.
GACCGAGCAACGCCGCGUGAACGAUGAAGUAUUUCGGUACGUAAAGUUCUUUUAUUAGGGAAGAAUAAAUGAUGGAAAAAUCAUUCUGACGGUACCUAAUGAAUAAGCCCCGGCUAACUAUGUGCCAGCAGCCGCGGUAAUACAUAGGGGGCAAGCGUUAUCCGGAAUUAUUGGGCGUAAAGGGUGCGUAGGCUGUUAAAUAAGUUUAUGGUCUAAGUGCAAUGCUCAACAUUGUGAUGCUAUAAAAACUGUUUAGCUAGAGUAAGAUAGAGGCAAGUGGAAUUCCAUGUGUAGUGGUAAAAUGCGUAAAUAUAUGGAGGAACACCAGUAGCGAAGGCGGCUUGCUGGGUCUUUACUGACGCUGAGGCACGAAAGCGUGGGGAGCAAACAGGAUUAGAUACCCUGGUAGUCCACGCCGUAAACGAUGAGUACUAAACGUUGGGUAAAACCAGUGUUGAAGUUAACACAUUAAGUACUCCGCCUGAGUAGUACGUACGCAAGUAUGAAACUUAAAGGAAUUGACGGGACUCCGCACAAGCGGUGGAUCAUGUUGUUUAAUUCGAAGGUACCCGAAAAACCUCACCAGGUCUUGACAUGCUUCUGCAAAGCUGUAGAAACACAGUGGAGGUUAUCAGUUGCACAGGUGGUGCAUGGUUGUCGUCAGCUCGUGUCGUGAGAUGUUGGGUUAAGUCCCGCAACGAGCGCAACCCUUAUUGUUAGUUGCCAGCACGUAAUGGUGGGGACUUUAGCAAGACUGCCAGUGAUAAAUUGGAGGAAGGUGGGGACGACGUCAAAUCAUCAUGCCCCUUAUGACCUGGGCUACAAACGUGAUACAAUGGC